RNAcentral lists this ribosomal RNA (1534 nucleotides) under uncultured soil bacterium. RNAcentral describes it as "bacterial SSU rRNA". It matches the Rfam family "Bacterial small subunit ribosomal RNA". The record is from RNAcentral.
GAUGAACGCUGGCGGCGUGGAUAAGGCAUGCAAGUCGAACGGAUCAACCAAUUUGGAAGUCUGAGAUUACAUCAAGGAUGGAAGAGCCGGUUGAUUAGUGGCAGACGAGGUAGUAACACGUAGAUACGCACCCCAAAGUCGGGAAUAAUCCAUCGAAAGGUGGACUAAUACCCGAUAGUCUCUAAGGAGUAAAGAUUUAUCGCUUUGGGAGCGGUCUGCGCAGUAUCAGCUAGUUGGUAGGGUAAAAGCCUACCAAGGCUAUGACGCUUAGGGGAGGUGAGAGCCUGACCCCCACCGAUGGGACUGAGACACGGCCCAUACACCUACGGGUGGCUGCAGUCGAGAAUCUUCCGCAAUGGACGAAAGUCUGACGGAGCGACGCCGCGUGAUGGAUGAAGUGGUUCGCCAUGUAAACAUCUUUUAUGAGCUACUAAAUUUUGAAGAGCUCAUGAAUAAGGAGUUGCUAAACUCGUGCCAGCAGCAGCGGUAAUACGAGUGCUCCAAGCGUUAUCCGGAAUUAUUGGGCGUAAAGGGUGUGUAGGUUGUCUUGUUAGUCAGGUGUUAAAACUCUCCGCUUAACGGAGAAGGGGCAUUUGAAACGGCAAGACUUGAAGAUGCGAGAGGUGAACAGAACUCAUGGUGUAGGGGUGAAAUCCGUUGAUAUCAUGGGGAAUACCAAAUGCGAAGGCAGUUCACUGGCGCACUCUUGACACUGAAACACGAAAGCGUGGGUCGCGAACUGGAUUAGAUACCCAGGUAGUCCACGCCCUAAACUAUCUUCUCUUGCUAUUCGGAGUAUCGACCCUCUGAGUGGCGAAGCUAACGCGUUAAGAGAAGCGCCUGGGUAGUACGAUCGCAAGAUUAAAACUCAAAGGAAUAGACGGGGACUUGCACAAGCAGAGGAUUAUGAGGUUUAAUUCGAUGACAAACGAAGAACCUUACCAGGGUUGGAAAUCUACACGACAUCUCUAUGAAAGUAGAGCUCCGCAAGGCGGGUAGACAGGUGUUGCAUGGCCGUCGUCAGUUCGUGGUUUGAACUGUUCCCUUAAGUGGGGUAACGAACGCAACCCACGUUGCCAGUUAUAUAUGUCUGGCGAGACUGCCCCGUGAAAUGCUCAUGAAGAGUUGGAGAAAGUACAGGCGACUUUUUGCUUUGCAAAAACGAAGACUGUAUUUUCGGAAACUCUCUUCGUGGUAAUUUUACGGGGAGGAAGGCGUGGAUGACGCCAGGUCAGCAUGGCCCUUUGAUACCCUGGGCCACACUCAUAAUACAAUCGCCGCUACAACACGACGCAAUAUCGCAAGAUGGAGCAAAUCGUUAGAAAAGCGGCGCCAGUUCGGAUCGGAGUCUGCAACUCGACUCCGUGAAGCCGGAUUUGCUAGUAAUCGCGGGUCAGCCAUACCGCGGUGAAUACGUUCUCAAGUCUUGUACUCACCGCCCGUCAACUCAAGGGAGUUGGGAAUACCCGAAGUCUGCCCAUGUGGCGGCCUACGGUAAGCUCAAUGACAGGGAGUAAGUCGUAACAAGGUAAAU